RNAcentral lists this ribosomal RNA (301 nucleotides) under uncultured bacterium. Its description in RNAcentral is "partial 16S ribosomal RNA". It matches the Rfam family "Bacterial small subunit ribosomal RNA", at positions 509 to 807 of the family's 1533-position model. The record is from RNAcentral.
CAGUAGCCGCGGGAAUACGUAGGGGGCAAGCGUUAUCCGGAUUUACUGGGUGUAAAGGGAGCGCAGACGGCAGUGCAAGUCUGAAGUGAAAGGCGUGGGCUCAACCCAUGAACUGCUUUGGAAACUGUAUAGCUUGAGUGUCGGAGGGGUAAGCGGAAUUCCUAGUGUAGCGGUGAAAUGCGUAGAUAUUAGGAGGAACACCGGAGGCGAAGGCGGCUUACUGGACGACAACUGACGCUGAGGCUCGAAGGCGUGGGGAGCAAACAGGAUUAGAGACCCGUGUAGUCCCUGUCUCUUAUAC